CGUCAAGCCAUGGGAGUCGGGGGUACCUGAAGGACGUAACCGCAAGGGGCGUACUAGGGUAAUACCGGUGACUGGGGCUAAGUCGUAACAAGGUAGCCGUACCGGAAGGUGCGGCUGGAACACCUCCUUUCUGGAGUUCGGAGCAACAGGUAGCAGAAAAUCCGCCGUCUCGCAACAGGCUCAAAAAGGAUCGGGAAAAGACAGAGGAGAGAGGGGUAUUGACGAGAGGAAAGGGAUACCGGAUUGCUUUUCGAAGGUCUUGCGUACCGCUUUUGUUCGAAGUAUGAAUUAAACAUAUACCCUCGCGGGUGCGAGGGGCCGGAGGGCUCAUAAGAAGAGUUCGUCGGCCUGACGUCACCCCGGGAGGAUCCUCGGUAAAGGUCGUCGGAGCGAGCAAAAGCUUUUUACGCCGCAAGAUCCGAGGGACUUCCCCCGCGCCGGUUGAAGGAAUCGGCAAACAGGCMGCAGAGAGGAAUAGAGUAAUCAAGCAGUCCUAUAGCUCAGUUGGUUAGAGCGCUACACUGAUAAUGUAGAGGUCGGCAGUUCAACUCUGCCUGGGACUACGGGGGAUUAGCUCAGCUGGCUAGAGCACCUGCUUUGCAAGCAGGGGGUCAUCGGUUCGAAUCCGAUAUUCUCCACGAAGACAGCGAUCAUUGACAUAUUGAGAUAUAAGCAAGAAGAAAAAGUAGAGCAAUAAAAAAGCUGAAGUAUACCGCCUGUCAUGCCGGAAGAGGUAUGAAGCGGAGAAAAAGUAAGAAAGGGCAGACGGUGGAUGCCUAGGCUCUCGGAGGCGUGAAG
This 798-nucleotide unclassified non-coding RNA is filed under the name Porphyromonas loveana. Its description in RNAcentral is "partial contains 16S ribosomal RNA, 16S-23S ribosomal RNA intergenic spacer, and 23S ribosomal RNA". The stretch from base 1 to 130 matches the Rfam family "Bacterial small subunit ribosomal RNA", at positions 1395 to 1533 of the family's 1533-position model. The record is from RNAcentral. Lineage: Bacteria; Pseudomonadati; Bacteroidota; Bacteroidia; Bacteroidales; Porphyromonadaceae.